GGGGUGAGGGCUGAGGAGGGAGUGCCUGGAAAACGGCGACGGAUGCCUGGCGUCGUGCCCUGCAGCUGGCGGCGCUUGGGGCCGCCGGGCGGGCCGCUGCUUUCCCCUGUCGAGAAGGCUGCGGACAAGAAAACGAUCCGGGAGGAGAGCGCCCCGGCCUGGGCUCCCUCCCGUGAAAGUCCGCGGGAUCCUAGGGCCCGGUAAACCAGACAGAGGCUCUGGGCGGUAUUACAGUCGGACGUUGAGAAAAGCCAAGAUCAGCCUUCGAGGUCUCUCUCUGUGCUCUAUCGCCUCUGUGAUCUCUGGCAACUCAUUUAGCCCGGUCCUCAGUUUCCCUACUCUUCUAGAGGGGCUGGCCAAGAAGAAAAGAUUUCACGUCACAAUCACUACGUGCCUAAUCUGCCAUGCCUAUUGGCCUAGAGGAUAAUGACUUUCUCUGAAGAAUGCGUCCUUUGGUGCCCAGAAGCUCAAGACUGUCUGCCCACCUGUGCCUGGUCUUCCCUUAUGGUAGAGCUGCAGUUCCUGUUGAUGGGAAGCCCGGGAGGCGGUAGCCUUGGCAGAGCUCCCCCGACUUUACGAUGGUCGCCGCAGUGCUCGUGACCAGCUGGCUGGCAGCCCCUCGUCUGGAAGAGCCGAUGAACAUUGUACUAAACACUCCCUGAAUACCACAAGUAGAGCUCCUCAGGGUUAGUGAUCAGAAUUAAACUUCGGUGUGUCUCACAGUUGCUCGCCCAGCUGCCCGGAAAGAUUAGUGACAAGCUUCAUGGUGGACUCCAGCUUCUCCUGCAGGUUCCUCAGCUCAUUCUGUUCUCCUUCGGAGUCGCUGCUGACCAAGGACAUGGCUCUCAUCCUUGGGAACCAGUCAAGGUUUC
This is a long non-coding RNA of Manis pentadactyla (Chinese pangolin), 872 nucleotides long. RefSeq lists it as uncharacterized. Lineage: Eukaryota; Metazoa; Chordata; Mammalia; Pholidota; Manidae. The record is from RefSeq and is a predicted model, not a curated record. The transcript has 5 exons.